GUAAUGUCUGGGAAACUGCCUGAUGGAGGGGGAGUAACUACUGGAAACGGUAGCUAAUACCGCAUAACGUCGCAAGACCAAAGAGGGGGACCUUCGGGCCUCUUGCCAUCGGAUGUGCCCAGAUGGGAUUAGCUAGUAGGUGGGGUAAAGGCUCACCUAGGCGACGAUCCCUAGCUGGUCUGAGAGGAUGACCAGCCACACUGGAACUGAGACACGGUCCAGACUCCUACGGGAGGCAGCAUG
Molecule: ribosomal RNA, 243 nt
Filed under: uncultured bacterium
Lineage: Bacteria
Description: partial 16S ribosomal RNA
Rfam family: Bacterial small subunit ribosomal RNA
Source: RNAcentral